This 826-nucleotide unclassified non-coding RNA is filed under the name Hevea brasiliensis (rubber tree). Lineage: Eukaryota; Viridiplantae; Streptophyta; Magnoliopsida; Malpighiales; Euphorbiaceae. The record is from RNAcentral.
AAUUUUUUUUUUUUUUUUUUGCUUAUGUUUUUUGGUCAAGAUAUCUCACUUGUUUUUCUAGAAAUUAAGUAACAUUCUGCAUUUAGUUGUUAUGUAAUGAUACAUGUGAUCUUGAUAUACCAUCUAGUUUACCCUAUAUAUAUAUUGACAUUAACAUACUGUGAUACUGCUUUUAUCAUUAUCUGUCAACCUCCUGAUGGGCUAGUUUCGUAUUGUGUUGUUAGGGAGCCUUUGUUUGGAGUUGCAAGGCUUUGGUUUCUGAAGUGAGCAAUAUAAUGUGUUUCAUUUAUUUUCCUGCUGUUUAAUUCUUCAUUCUUGCAAUUACUAAUGAACUAUUUGAUUUUCCUUCUCUCUUAAUGUUUCGGGUGUAGAUUAAGGCAUCACACAAGGAAAUGGAGAAGAUGCUUCAAGAACAAAGGCCCUCUUCUUUUCAAGGUAGAUUGUUAAAGCACAAUCUUGAUUCUGAAGUUGUAGAUGCUCUCAAGGAUCUAAGGAAUAAGCUAGCUGAGAAUGAGUCAAAAAAUAGGUGAUCUAAUUUAGUUUUAGAAUUUAGAACUUAGAACUCUGAAUAUACCCUUUACCUUGGACAAUGGUCCUUGUUCAACUUUGGUCUAAAUUUUUGUUAAUAAUUGUAUAGGAGGGAUUCAGUGUUACUGUCCAUUUAUUUCAAAGUACCCUAGAGGAAGUGUUAGAUGCUGCACUCCAUUAUUAUUUCCAUCUUUCUUCAUUAGGCUUUAACUUCUACACAAACUGUAGAUUUUCCUCCAAAUUUGUUCUUUGUGGGGUUCUUCAGAUUUGUUUGGCACUGCUGUUGAAGUUGACAAAG